RNAcentral lists this ribosomal RNA (492 nucleotides) under uncultured bacterium. RNAcentral's name for it is "partial 16S ribosomal RNA". It matches the Rfam family "Bacterial small subunit ribosomal RNA", at positions 29 to 507 of the family's 1533-position model. The record is from RNAcentral.
AGUGAACGCUGGCGGUAGGCCUAACACAUGCAAGUCGAACGGCAGCACAGUAAGAGCUUGCUCUUACGGGUGGCGAGUGGCGGACGGGUGAGGAAUACAUCGGAAUCUACUUUUUCGUGGGGGAUAACGUAGGGAAACUUACGCUAAUACCUCAUACGACCUACGGGUGAAAGCAGGGGAUCUUCGGACCUUGCGCGAUUGAAUGAGCCGAUGUCGGAUUAGCUAGUUGGCGGGGUAAAGGCCCGCCAAGGCGACGAUCCGUAGCUGGUCUGAGAGGAUGAUCAGCCACACUGGAACUGAGACACGGUCCAGACUCCUACGGGAGGCAGCAGUGGGGAAUAUUGGACAAUGGGCGCAAGCCUGAUCCAGCCAUACCGCGUGGGUGAAGAAGGCCUUCGGGUUGUAAAGCCCUUUUGUUGGGAAAGAAAAGCAGCAGGUUAAUACCCCGCUGUUCUGACGGUACCCAAAGAAUAAGCACCGGCUAACUUCGUG